UGAAGUCUAUCUAUGAAAAAUAUUUGUCAAUUGCACUUUGCUGAUCUUGGCUUGGCAUUCGAAUUUUAUAAUUCAUAUGCCAAGACGAGGGGCUUCAGUGUGCGAAAGAGUAGAAGUAGAAUAGUUGAUGAAAAAGUUAGAGAAAAAACAUAUGUUUGUUCUUGUGAAGGGCAUAGAUUAGAAAAAUGGAACCAUAUGAAAAAUCGAGUUAGGGAGCCAAAACCAGAGACAAGAUGUGGUUGUAUGAGUAAACUUCAUGUUAUCUUCAAUGCGGUAACUGAGAGUUGGGUAGUGAGAGAUUUUUGUGAUGAACACAACCAUGAGCUUGUUGUUCCAAAGUUAGCAAGAAUGUUAAGAUCUCACAAGAAAAUGACUGAACCUGACAUUAGUCAAAUGAACCAUAUGAAAGAGGUGGGGAUCAGCAUGCCAAACAUAUUUGGGUCAUUAGCUAGCCAGUGUGGUGGGUACGAGAACGUUAAUUUUUCAAUUAAGGAUAUGCACAAUCAAGUUGCGAAGCAAAGAAGACAAUUAUCUGAUGAUUUAACCUCUGCAAUGGCUUACCUGGAAACGCUAGCAGCAAGGGAUCAAAACUUGUUCUAUAGUGUUGAAAAGGGCAGAGAAGGAGUGUUUCGACAAAUUUUUUGGUGUGAUGGCCGGUGUUAGUUGGAUUACGAUCUGUUCGGGAAUGUGCUAGCAUUUGACGCCACAUAUAAGAAGAAUAGAUACAGAUUGCCGGUGGUAAUAUUCUCGAGAGUUAACCACCAUAAUCAAACAGUUGUAUUUGGUGCUGCGAUAGUUUCGAAUGAGAGGAAAAGCACCUAGUGUGGUUACUAAAACAGCUUCUCAUAGCAAUGAAGGGAAAGACACCGACUUCAGUAAUUACGGAUGGUCAUCACUCGAUGGCUAUCGCUAUUCAGGAAGUGUUUUCGAAUGCACAUCAUAGGUUAUGUGCAUGGCACUUGAUGCGUAAUGCAACAAGCAAUAUUCACAAACCUCAGUUUACGAAAAUGUUUACAAAGUUAAUGCUAGGUGAUUACGAAGUUGGUGUGUUCGAACAAAAGUGGGAGGAAAUGGUUGGAUUCUUUGGAGUAGAAGAUCGGGAAUGGAUAGUAGAUAUGUAUGAAAAAAGAAACAUGUGGGCUACCGCUCAUAUCCGAGGAAAAUUCUUUGCUGGGUUUAGAAUGACUUCGAGGUGUGAAAGUCUACAUGCUGUCCUCAAAAGAUAUAUUAAAUCACGCUAUAAUUUGACAGAAUUUGUUCAACACUUCCAGCGUUGUUUGAGCUACAUGCGGCACAGAGAGGAUUUGGCAGACUUUAAAUCAUCAACUGGACAACCUGUGAUGCAGACACACUUUCAACAAUUAGAAAGGUCAGCAGCUACCAUUUAUACCCGGCAAAUUUUUGUGUUGUUCCGUUCAAUGCUCAACAAGGCCAGCACAUUGAAGGUAAUAUAUGAAGAGGAAACGAGUUCUUGCAAGAUUUAUCAGGUGUCAAAAUUUUACAAGCCUAACAUGAUAUGGCAUGUGUCUUUUCAUGGAGAGCAAGAUGAAUUUAAAUGCUCAUGCAUGAGAAUGGACUCCAUAGGUAUUCCAUGUAGUCAUAUACUUGCUGUUUUGGGUUUUCUAGACAUUGCAGAGCUGCCAAAAUCAUUAGUGCUGCGAAGAUGGACUAGAAAAGCGAAGGAAGGCAUUAGUGGGUAUGAUGACAUGGGCGGCUUGAUGGAGGAUUCCUUGGCUAUCAAUCGGCGUGCAUGUUUGGCACAUUGGUGUAAACAAAUUAUGAACGAAGGGUGCCUAAAAGGGGAUAUUUUUAAUGAAUCACGAGAUGCAUUGGUAAAUAUACUUUCAUGUAUUAGGGCUCAUAGCGGGGACAAUAACAUGAUGUAGGAGCAUGCAGAAUACAUGUAUGAAGACCUUGCAAAGAAUGGAAGUACUGAGAUAGAGACCACAAGGAAGCCUAAGCGUUGCAGCUACUGUCGCAAGGGGGGCAUAACAUUGCUACGUGUUCCAUGAAGAAAAUGGAUGAAAGGACUCCCAAAUUUGAUGAUGACGCUGAGGAGAAUAUUGAGGGUGAGGACUACUCCUUCGUAGAUGCUGAAAGUGAUGAGUAUAUUCACACUGAAUGGUUUGAGGAGGAAGAUGAAUAUUUAAAUUUCUCAAGGUAUUAUGAACAGAGUGGUGGCGAGACUGCGUCCUCAAUCGAUUACGAUUCUGAUGGGGCAAAUGAUGAUGAUGAGGCAGAGUUGUGAACCAUCCGUUGCAACAAUCAAAGACGAGUUUAAGAGCACUUUUUUCUGUUUUUAUUAGUUAUACUUUUGGAACUUGUUUACAUCACUCUGAAUCUUAAAUACUUUAGAAC
Molecule: RNA transcript, 2358 nt
Organism: Arachis duranensis
Lineage: Eukaryota; Viridiplantae; Streptophyta; Magnoliopsida; Fabales; Fabaceae
Exons: 3
Source: RefSeq, a predicted model, not a curated record